RNAcentral lists this ribosomal RNA (427 nucleotides) under uncultured bacterium. RNAcentral's name for it is "partial 16S ribosomal RNA". It matches the Rfam family "Bacterial small subunit ribosomal RNA", at positions 355 to 774 of the family's 1533-position model. The record is from RNAcentral.
UGGGGAAUAUUGGACAAUGGGCGAAAGCCUGAUCCAGCCAUGCCGCGUGUGUGAAGAAGGUCUUCGGAUUGUAAAGCACUUUAAGUUGGGAGGAAGGGCAUUAACCUAAUACGUUAGUGUUUUGACGUUACCGACAGAAUAAGCACCGGCUAACUCUGUGCCAGCAGCCGCGGUAAUACAGAGGGUGCAAGCGUUAAUCGGAAUUACUGGGCGUAAAGCGCGCGUAGGUGGUUUGUUAAGUUGGAUGUGAAAGCCCCGGGCUCAACCUGGGAACUGCACCCAAAACUGGCAAGCUAGAGUACGGUAGAGGGUGGUGGAAUUUCCUGUGUAGCGGUGAAAUGCGUAGAUAUAGGAAGGAACACCAGUGGCGAAGGCGACCACCUGGACUGAUACUGACACUGAGGUGCGAAAGCGUGGGGAGCAAACA